CGCCGCCGCCGCCCCAGCCCCGCCCGCUUGCGGCCCCGUUCAGCAGCGCCAGCCUGCCUGACCGACGGACAGACACGCAGGACGCUCCUCCCAAGGAGCGCCCGCAGGCGAGGUCGAGACCCCGCUGGGCACCCCCGCCUCCAGGGACGCCGCCCCGGAGGGCUUCUCGGAGGCGGCGGCCUUGGCCUCAGGCCUGCGGGGUGGGGGGGCGGGAGGGGAGGCCGACAGCCCUCGCCGCCCGAGGAGACCUGGUAGCCAGCUGGGCAGGGACGCAGUGGAGCGGGUUGGAGUCUCGGCAGGGGCACAAGAGGGCGGGUGCAGGUAGCCACAGGGUAGAAGGAGCAGCAGCGGCGGCGACAGUCAGGGACGUCCUGGGAGGCAGGCGAGGGCGAAAAGCAGCCAGGCUGGCCCUCGGGGCUGCCCGCUUCCAGGGGCACCACAGGAGAGGGAUCAGCCUGAGCUGGACGCCUGGGGAGCCUCAGCCCGUGUUUUCCAGUUUCUCUACUCUGAUUGGUUUUCUGCCGCUGGUCCUGGAGCUGGCGCAAAAGCAUCCCGUCGCUAAUCCACCAGUGGACUCCUUCCAAGCCUCCUGUCCUCUGCUGUCAGCCUGCAGUGAGGCUGCCCAGCAACACUCCAUUUUGCCAGAGCAAGGAUGGGGGAAGUCUGCUGCUGGCCGGGGGCCGAGGCCCCUCAAAGAAGUGGACCAGCCCAGGAAGAGGCUUCUGGGUACACAGGUUGACAGGACUCCCUGGCCUCACCUGAGGCACAGGUUGAAGGGCCUCACCUGCAUGCCCAGCCUCAUGUUGCAGAAAAUCUGAGCUCUAGGGCCUGGAUCAUCCUUCAACUUGUCCUGUGCUCUGGCAGCCCUCCAGGUGUCUCCUUCUGCACAUACUAGGGAGUGCCACCCUGCCUGCCCCGAAGUCACUGCUGGGAUCUGUGAGUACAGGCCUGUCAAGUCCUUUUGCCAAAGUUGAAAUUAUAGCUAACUUUCCAUAGUAGAUCUCAAAGACAGACACUUGGAGCCUCAUGUGGCCUUGCCUCCACUAGGUGGAAUCCUGACCAUGGGGUGGGUCUCUCAGGGAUCACUACCUGACAGCUUUCUGCCCCAUCUGGGAUCAGACCUACCUCU
This 1129-nucleotide long non-coding RNA is filed under the name Ictidomys tridecemlineatus (thirteen-lined ground squirrel). Its description in RNAcentral is "lncRNA (ENSSTOG00000029478.1)". The record is from RNAcentral. Lineage: Eukaryota; Metazoa; Chordata; Mammalia; Rodentia; Sciuridae.